GGUACUGGUGGCUCAACGGUUAAAGCUCGUGGUUACUGAUCAGAAGGUCGGGGGUUCAAGCCCCAGCACUGCCA
Ameiurus melas (black bullhead) is the source of this 74-nucleotide non-coding RNA. The record is from the annotation of a GenBank genome assembly. NCBI's taxonomy places the organism in Eukaryota, Metazoa, Chordata, Actinopteri, Siluriformes, Ictaluridae.